Molecule: ribosomal RNA, 889 nt
Filed under: Aeromonas caviae
Lineage: Bacteria; Pseudomonadati; Pseudomonadota; Gammaproteobacteria; Aeromonadales; Aeromonadaceae
Description: partial 16S ribosomal RNA
Rfam family: Bacterial small subunit ribosomal RNA
Source: RNAcentral
CCUGGCGGCAGGCCUAACCAUGCAAGUCGAGCGGCAGCGGGNAANUCNCUUGCUACUUUUGCCGGCGAGCGGCGGACGGGUGAGUAAUGCCUGGGAAAUUGCCCAGUCGAGGGGGAUAACAGUUGGAAACGACUGCUAAUACCGCAUACGCCCUACGGGGGAAAGCAGGGGACCUUCGGGCCUUGCGCGAUUGGAUAUGCCCAGGUGGGAUUAGCUAGUUGGUGAGGUAAUGGCUCACCAAGGCGACGAUCCCUAGCUGGUCUGAGAGGAUGAUCAGCCACACUGGAACUGAGACACGGUCCAGACUCCUACGGGAGGCAGCAGUGGGGAAUAUUGCACAAUGGGGGAAACCCUGAUGCAGCCAUGCCGCGUGUGUGAAGAAGGCCUUCGGGUUGUAAAGCACUUUCAGCGAGGAGGAAAGGUCAGUAGCUAAUAUCUGCUGGCUGUGACGUUACUCGCAGAAGAAGCACCGGCUAACUCCGUGCCAGCAGCCGCGGUAAUACGGANGGUGCAAGCGUUAAUCGGAAUUACUGGGCGUAAAGCGCACGCAGGCGGUUGGAUAAGUUANAUGUGAANNCCCGGGCUCACCUGGGAAUUGCAUUUAAACUGUCCAGCUAGAGUCUUGUANAGGGGGGUANANUCCAGGUGUANCGGUGAAAUGCGUAAANAUCUGGAGNAUACCGGUGCNAANGCGNCCCNUGGANAAACUGACCUCAGGUGCAAANCGUGGGGAGCAANAGGAUUANAUNCCUGGUAUCCCCCCUAACAAUNCCAUUGNAGCUGGUCUNGAACUGCUCCGACUACNNUAAUCCCCCCUGGGAUCGCCCAGUAANUNAUNAUGCGGNCCCCACCGNGACUGGUUNUNUCACCAAACUACUGCUGAUGGGAC